This 460-nucleotide ribosomal RNA is filed under the name uncultured bacterium. Its description in RNAcentral is "partial 16S ribosomal RNA". It matches the Rfam family "Bacterial small subunit ribosomal RNA", at positions 338 to 795 of the family's 1533-position model. The record is from RNAcentral.
CCUACGGGUGGCAGCAGUGAGGAAUAUUGGUCAAUGGACGAGAGUCUGAACCAGCCAAGUAGCGUGAAGGAUGACUGCCCUAUGGGUUGUAAACUUCUUUUAUAUGGGAAUAAAACGUUCCACGUGUGGGAUUUUGUAUGUACCAUAUGAAUAAGGAUCGGCUAACUCCGUGCCAGCAGCCGCGGUAAUACGGAGGAUCCGAGCGUUAUCCGGAUUUAUUGGGUUUAAAGGGAGCGUAGGUGGAUUGUUAAGUCAGUUGUGAAAGUUUGCGGCUCAACCGUAAAAUUGCAGUUGAAACUGGCAGUCUUGAGUACAGUAGAGGUGGGCGGAAGUUGUGGUGUAGCGGUGAAAUGCUUAGAUAUCACGAAGAACUCCGAUUGCGAAGGCAGUUCACUGGACUGCAACUGACACUGAGGCUCGAAAGUGUGGGUAUCAAACAGGAUUAGAUACCCUAGUAGUC